CUGGAUGACAGCCCCCCGAGAGACACCUGUGACUGCUCCCACCUGCAGAAAGAAGGCAACAAGUAAUUCACUGAGCAGAUGCACGCUGCUGGUGUAUUGCACGGACCUUCCACCCACUAGCAUCAUCAUCACCUUCCACAACGAGGCCCGCUCCACGCUGCUCAGGACCAUCCGCAGCGUAAUAAACCGCACCCCUACGCAUCUGAUCCGGGAAAUCAUAUUAGUGGAUGACUUCAGCAAUGACCCUGAUGACUGUAAACAGCUCAUCAAGUUGCCCAAGGUGAAAUGCUUGCGCAAUAAUGAACGGCAAGGUCUGGUCCGGUCCCGGAUUCGGGGCGCUGACAUUGCCCAGGGCACCACUCUGACUUUCCUCGACAGCCACUGUGAGGUGAACAGGGACUGGCUCCAGCCUCUGUUGCACAGGGUCAAAGAGGACUACACGCGGGUGGUGUGCCCUGUGAUCGAUAUCAUUAACCUGGACACCUUCACCUACAUCGAGUCUGCCUCGGAGCUCAGAGGGGGGUUUGACUGGAGCCUCCACUUCCAGUGGGAGCAGCUCUCCCCAGAGCAGAAGGCUCGGCGCCUGGACCCCACGGAGCCCAUCAGGACUCCUAUCAUAGCUGGAGGGCUCUUCGUGAUCGACAAAGCUUGGUUUGAUUACCUGGGGAAAUAUGAUAUGGACAUGGACAUCUGGGGUGGGGAGAACUUUGAAAUCUCCUUCCGAGUGUGGAUGUGCGG
Molecule: small RNA, 738 nt
Filed under: Pan troglodytes (chimpanzee)
Lineage: Eukaryota; Metazoa; Chordata; Mammalia; Primates; Hominidae
Description: processed transcript
Source: RNAcentral